UACGGGGGGGGUAAGCGUUGUUCGGAAUUACUGGGCGUAAAGGGCUCGUAGGCGGCCAACUAAGUCAGACGUGAAAUCCCUAGGCUCAACCUAGGAACUGCGUCUGAUACUGGAUGGCUUGAAUCCGGGAGAGGGAUGCAGAAUUCCAGGUGUAGCGGUGAAAUGCGUAGAUAUCUGGAGGAACACCGGUGGCGAAGGCGGGUCUCUGGGCCAUUACUGACGCUGAGGAGCGAAAGCGUGGGGAGCGAACAGG
Molecule: ribosomal RNA, 253 nt
Filed under: uncultured bacterium
Lineage: Bacteria
Description: partial 16S ribosomal RNA
Rfam family: Bacterial small subunit ribosomal RNA
Source: RNAcentral